This 207-nucleotide long non-coding RNA is filed under the name Olea europaea (common olive). RNAcentral describes it as "long non-coding RNA (OEUR_LNC000054)". Lineage: Eukaryota; Viridiplantae; Streptophyta; Magnoliopsida; Lamiales; Oleaceae. The record is from RNAcentral.
UGAAUUAUAGGUUUUUUAAAUGCAUUGACUUGAGUGAUUGCUAGCUAGUGUGGAGCCGUCGGGCCAUUUUUUUGUUUUUUUUUACAGAAUAUAUAUUUGUUAAUUGUGGGGUAGUUUGCAGUGGAGAUUAUUACUAUGGUUAAGCCAAGUAAGAAGCCUAAGAAUAAUUUUUUCGUUAUGUUGUUCGAUUUUGUUUUAGUUCAUGUG